CAUCAACAAAAAGAAAGAAAGAAAAAGUGCAGAGUGCGAGCUGAGAGAAGAAAAGAGGAAACCAAUAAAGGUAAAAAUGGUUCUUCUGCUGCCUCUUCUUCAUCACGAUUUUCUUCUUCUCUUCCUUCGUCUUCGUUGUCAUC
Molecule: non-coding RNA, 143 nt
Filed under: uncultured eukaryote
Lineage: Eukaryota
Source: RNAcentral